Felis catus (domestic cat) is the source of this 1670-nucleotide long non-coding RNA. RefSeq lists it as uncharacterized. The transcript is spliced from 3 exons. NCBI's taxonomy places the organism in Eukaryota, Metazoa, Chordata, Mammalia, Carnivora, Felidae. The record is from RefSeq and is a predicted model, not a curated record.
CCGCGUCCACCCUCUCGGCAAGUCUGCUGAGCCAGUGACCGUCCUGUGGUCGGCGCGUCCAUCCAGAAGGCACAGCUGGCCGGCCCAGGGCUGGGGGAACAACUGAUGGAUGAAUGCGUGAGCGCCGGAGCCGAUCCGCCCCGUUGCUUGCCAGAGGAGGGGCUCUCAGCCCGGCUUCCUCCCCAGCCUGACCCUCCUCUUCCCCCGUUUUAGCUUCCUGCGUCACCCCCGCCCCCAGGUGGAAGCAACAGGUGGACAGCGGAGAGGAGCACUCAGCCAAGAGACAAAUGUGCUGCUUCCCACGGGCUGGCAGCCCAGGGACUGACCACCUGCUCUCCGCUCACCACCAGCCCGAGCAAGGCCUUCCCGCAGACCCACGCUUCCCGGCAUUUGAUGCCUAAGAGCGCGGGCUGGCGCGAGACCCAGGACACGGAGAGGCCCCUGUGCACGGAGAGCCCUUGCAGCCCAGUGACUGGAGACACUGCUCCAACAACGUACAUGAGAGAAAGACGAACACCGUGAUUCGUGAGUCGCGAUGCGCGCCACGAACAACAUGACGCUCCGCGAACGAAGCCGGUCGCCGAGGCCACGUGCUCCGUAUGGUUUCAUUUAUGCGAAACGUCCAGAGGAGAAGACACAUCCACUCGGCCUCUGUUUGCCAUCUGUCAAAAGAGCUCCAUCAGUGGUUUGCAAACUGCGUUUCAAGGCACCCCGGGGGCCAAGAAGAGAUUUCCACCGCCCUGGAGAAAGGAUGCCACUGAGGUUCCCCUGGGAACCCACCCACGUCCUGCCUCCCCUUUAGGCCUGGCCCAACCUACAGGAUGCGGCUGCCAAAUGUAGGUGAGGAAGAGGAAGGCGUGGGGGGUGGUGAGCAGGAAUUCGCAUCCUGGGGACCAGGAGAUGGAAACUCCAGGUGCCUGUGGACUAGCUUCCGGCUCCAGCCUAGGGAAGAAGACUUAGCCACUGCCUCUUGGGACGCAGCUGCCUGGCUCAGAGCCCGGAGCCCUUCCCAGACGUGGUGCCAGCACUCCCUCUUCCCUUCUGGGAGGGGAGACUCUCUGGAGCCUCCUGCUCGGGGCCCCAGGUCUGCACUAGCCGUGGCUCCGGCCACCGAAUCCCAGACGCUUUGGAGGGUGAAGCUGGGCCCCGGGCAGGGUGCUGGGGACCCUGACCCUGGGGAGUUCACAAAGCCCCCAUUAUGCUUGCCCAAGUCUUAACGCCAGCAGCCCGAGAGCCCCCUGAGGACGAGGCCGAUAAGAUCAGGCAGGAGCACAUUCAAAUGGUCACUGCGGCAUGGUGGGGCCUGUGGCCAAGCGGAGUACCCUUGCGCCGUCCAAAGGGCUGUGAGCCGCCUCUUGCCAGACUUGAAUUUUCCAAAGCCGGGGUUUCACCGUGAACUCUCCAGAUUCUGGAAAACUCGGGGGGAGCAAAACGCAUCCAGGAGCAGGGUACAGGCAGCCCGCGGGCUACCAGUUAGCAAAAUGUCUUGGGGCCCGGAUACAAUGACCCUCUUCCGGGAAAGGAACCUGGGGCUGGGAGAGAAGCAGCAAGUCGCGAGGCCCCCCACGUGGCACGUGGUGGCGUCCAGACGCAAAGCCGCCGCAGAUGCGAGGAAGGACGCUCUCGUCAAGCCCUUCCCUUGCUUUUCCAAAUAAAUAAAUUACACUUCC